AUCUUGAAGGGGGAACCCACAGAGACAACUGACCGACCCAAGCUCAUGGGAGCUCAUGGACUCUAGACCAACAAGCUAGGGAGCCUGCAUGGGACCUACCUAGGCCCUCUGUAUGUGGACGACAGUCGUGUGGCUUGCCCAACCCUGAGGUGUAAAGAACUACCACCUUCACGUGACAGAGGAGGACAGCAAGGGACAUCAAAGUUCUGCUACCAAGGAGUCCAGCCUGCGAGUUUUGUUCAAUCCCAGGUAGUUCCAACCAGAGCCCACAGACCUAACUAUUGUUCUCCACUGGCUCCAUAUCUGCUGAUUUUGGAAGCAAGGAAUGGAUGGUACCAUCAGUCCACAGAUUUGAUGAUAGGAAAACUGCCCAAGAAUUUUAAAACUUAUUCCAGAACAUCAUUGAUGCCCAUGGUCAUCAAAACAACACUACCUAGCUCAUGAGCGAGCUCGAGACCUCCCACACAUGUACUUUCAUUAAAUGUGUUCCUCAUGAUUGCAAGAAUAUAUCAAUAAGCUGUUUUAUAUACUUUAUAAAGCAUGCCAACUUAAAAAUAAAGUAACAAACAGAC
Molecule: long non-coding RNA, 572 nt
Organism: Peromyscus eremicus (cactus mouse)
Lineage: Eukaryota; Metazoa; Chordata; Mammalia; Rodentia; Cricetidae
Exons: 2
Source: RefSeq, a predicted model, not a curated record